Mustela lutreola (European mink) is the source of this 1843-nucleotide long non-coding RNA. RefSeq lists it as uncharacterized. Lineage: Eukaryota; Metazoa; Chordata; Mammalia; Carnivora; Mustelidae. The transcript is spliced from 5 exons. The record is from RefSeq and is a predicted model, not a curated record.
GCGCGGAGACCCUGGGGGCAGCCCCCCCCCCACACGUGCCACCCUGGCAGCGCAGUCCUUGCAGCCCGAGGGCUGAGUGCCGAGGUGGCGCGCUCUGGCCCGGGGGCCCCGCUUCCUGCCCAGAUACGGAUUCUGACAGGAUCUGGGAGCCGGAUGAGAAUAAGUUACUGAAUCAUUCAUGACAUCUUUCCAGGAAGAGAUGAGAGCACAGCGUGGACAUGAGUUUCAGCUAUCUGGCAAGUGCUGGGUACACAUAGAUGAACUAUGUGUCUGGGAGUCCUCUGAAUGUCCGCUGAUUCCACGCCAGACCCCGGACCUGGGCCAUUUCAGAAUACCAAGGAAAACAACAUGCCCCUGAGGACCUUUGAUUUGUGGAGAUCGGACCCGCCUGAGUCUGCCAGGACAUGGUGAUUGCAAGCAGCAGAGGGCUGGUAUGAGCUGACAAGGAACGCGGGUGGCUGGACCUCCUCCAGAGGAUUGUCAUAAGGGAGACGGAUUCCUGCUGUAAGAGCAUUUUUCAUUUAAAUUCUCGGAUCUGCAGAAGGCAGUAAUGCACACAUUACGCCUGAAGCAAAGACUAGCGCCUAUUAAUGAAAAAGGGUGAACAAAGACUCGCCCUAUGUUGCAAAUGUUUUUUUCUUCUCACAUGACAGCAAUUCUAGUCUCCUUUGGUAGCUCGCUAUCUCUGUUCAUUUCUUUACACUUCACCAACAAGAGGAAGUGUGUGUGUGUGUGUGUGUGUGUGUGUGUGCGCGCGCGCGCGCGCGCACGCAUUAGGGCUUAUAGGUUUCCAAAUUAUUAUGCAUCUGGUUCUUAAAACAAUUUGAGAUACUUCUUAUAUCUCAGAUUUCAUCACAUUCAGGACUUACCUUUGCACAGAAGAAUUUUGGAUCUCCAGUACUUGGCUUUUUCUUAGCUGGGCGUAAUUUAUUCUUGCUCUGAUGUAAUGAGUUCUCACUCAUCUUUGAAACCCCUUGCUUACCCCAUUAUAUAUUGGUAAGUGCUUCAUACUCACUAGAAGACAUAAAUAUUCAUUGAAUAAAUCCUAAACUUCUAUUAAGCACUCUUUUUACAUAAUGUACCUGGCCACAGGGGUUGGCAAACUUUUCUGGAAAGGGCCAAAUAGUAAUUAUUCUGGGAGUUAUGAGCCAAGAGGCAAAAAUGGGUGUAUUAUGUGGACCCUUACUUAGCCAUUAAAAAUGCAACCGUUUAAAAAAAUGUAGCAACUACCCUUAUCUCACACCAUAUGCAAAAGUGAAGCCAAAAUGAACCAAAGACUUAAAUAUAAGAGCUAAAACCAUGAAACUUUUAGAAGAAAACCUGGAAGUACCACUUCAUGACCUUGGAUUAGGUGAUGGCCUCUUACAUAACACCAAAAGCAAGUGCAACAAAAGAAAAAAUAAGUGAGGGGUGCCUGGGUGGCUCAGUGGGUUAAAGCCUCUGCCUUCGGCUCAGGUCAUGAUCGCAGGGUGUUGGGAUUGAGCCCCACAUCGGGCUUUCUGCUUAGCAGGGAGCCUGCUUCCUCCUCUCUCUCUCUGCCUGCCUCUCUGCCUACUUGUAAUCUCUGUCUGUCAUAUAAAAUAAAUAAAAUCUUAAAAAAAAAAAGAAAAGAAAAGAAAAAAUAAGUGAAUUGGGGGGGGAGAAAAGGAAAGAAAAAAAAAUAGAUAAAUUAGGUUUCACCAAACUGAAAACUUUAAUGCAUCAAAGGAAACUGUUACGAAUGUAAAAUGGUGACCUACAGAAUGGAAGAAAAUAUUUGCGCAUCCUGUGUCUGAUAAGGGUUUAAUAGCUAGAAUAAAGACCUCCUGCGAGUCAACAACCAAAAGACAAAUCAUCGAAGUAG